RNAcentral lists this ribosomal RNA (781 nucleotides) under uncultured delta proteobacterium. RNAcentral describes it as "bacterial SSU rRNA". It matches the Rfam family "Bacterial small subunit ribosomal RNA", at positions 562 to 1341 of the family's 1533-position model. Lineage: Bacteria; Deltaproteobacteria. The record is from RNAcentral.
AAAGCGGGUGUAGGUGGCUAUGCAAGUCGGAUGUGAAAUCCCUAGGCUCAACCUAGGACGUGCGUUCGAUACUGUGUGGCUAGAGUACGGUAGAGGAAAGUGGAAUUCCUAGUGUAGGGGUGAAAUCCGUAGAUAUUAGGAGGAAUACCAAUGGCGAAGGCAGCUUUCUGGCCCGUAACUGACACUCAGACCCGAAAGCGUGGGUAGCAAACAGGAUUAGAUACCCUGGUAGUCCACGCCGUAAACGAUGGAUGCUUGUCGUUGGAGGAUUGAAACCUUCAGUGACGGAGUUAACGCGUUAAGCAUCCCGCCUGGGGAGUACGGUCGCAAGAUUAAAACUCAAAGAAAUUGACGGGGACCCGCACAAGCAGUGGAGCAUGUGGUUUAAUUCGACGCAACGCGAAGAACCUCAUCCUGGUCUUGACAUCUACUGGACGGCUCAUGGAAACAAGGCUUUCCCUUCGGGGACUGGUAGACAGGUGCUGCAUGGCUGUCGUCAGCUCGUGUCGUGAGAUGUUGGGUUAAGUCCCGCAACGAGCGCAACCCACGCCCCUUGUUGCCAUCAUUUAGUUGGGCACUCUAGGGGGACCGCCGGCGUCAAGCCGGAGGAAGGUGUGGAUGACGUCAAGUCCUCAUGGCCCUUAUGACCAGGGCUACACACGUGCUACAAUGGGACGCACAAAGGGCUGCCAAACCGUAAGGUGGAGCAAAUCUCAAAAAACGUCCCUCAGUUCGGAUUGAGGUCUGCAACUCGACCUCAUGAAGCUGGAAUUGCUAGUAA